AGCUAGAUCUAGUCCUACAAAUUUGACCAAUACAACUAUCUAAACUAAUUUUCAAAACAUUUAUAUAAUUAUUCAUCUUAGUAUAGGUGAUAGAACAGAUAAAUCUUAGGCACAAUAGAGAGAGUACCGUGAGGGAACGUUGAAAGAUACCAUCCUGUAAGCAAUAAAAAGCAAAGAUUAAAUCUUCUACCUUUUGCAUAAUGAUUUAGCCAGUCUACACGGACAAAAAGAAUUAAAGCCCGUCUUCCCGAAAUUGAGUGAGCUAUUGUAGAACAGUUAUCAGAACGAACUCGUCUAUGUAGCAAAAUAGUGAGAUGAUUUUACAAUAGGGGUGAAAAGCCUAUCGAACUUAAUGAUAGCUGGUUAUCCAAAAAACGAAUUUUAGUUCAACUUUAAAUUUAACUCAAGUACUAAUAGACUAAAUUUAAAUUUAAAUGUUAAUCAAAAGGGGGACAACUCCUUUUGACAUGUGAACAAACUUACUUAGUGGGUAAUGAUAUUUACACAAAACAUUGUAGGCCUAAAAGCAGCCACCAAUUAAGAAAAGCCGUUAAAAGCUCAAACUAUUAUGUCAUUUAAAUACCCAAUAGUCUAUCAAAACCCCUAAUCUAAUAUUGGAUAAUUCUAUUAAUAUUUAGGAGAUAUAAUGCUAAUAUGAGUAACAUGAAUAGAUUCUCCUUGCAUAAGCAUAAAUAUGACCGGAACAACCGCUUACACUUAAUCAACUAAAUAACUAUAACCACAUACAAGCAUUCUAUUACCAACAUUGUUAACCCAACUUAGGCAUGCAUAUAAGGAAAGAUUAAAAGGAAUAAAAGGAACUCGGCAAACAAAACCCCGCCUGUUUACCAAAAACAUCACCUCUAGCAUUUACCAGUAUUUAGAGGCACUGGCUGCCCGGUGAGUUAUGACUUUAACGGCCGCGGUAUCCUGACCGUGCAAAGGUAGCAUAAUCACUUGUCUCUUAAUUGGAGACUGGUAUGAAUGGCAUAACGAGGGUUUGACUGUCUCUUAUUCCUGAUCAGUGAAAUUGACCUCCCCGUGCAGAGGCGGGGAUAUAUUUACAAGACGAGAAGACCCUGUGGAGCUUAAGUCUAAUAACUCAACACAUACAUAUACUAACCCAUCGGAACAAAUCGUAUAAGCUCCUGAGUUAUAGUCUUUGGUUGGGGUGACCUCGGAGCACAGAACAACCUCCGAAUGAUUAUAACCUAGAUUAACCAAUCUAAGUGUACCAAUACCAGUAAUUGACCCAUUUCUUGAUCAACGGAACAAGUUACCCCAGGGAUAACAGCGCAAUCCUAUUUGAGAGCCCAUAUCGAAAAUUAGGGUUUACGACCUCGAUGUUGGAUCAGGACAUCCCAAUGGUGCAGCCGCUAUUAAUGGUUCGUUUGUUCAACGAUUAAAGUCCUACGUGAUCUGAGUUCAGACCGGAGAAAUCCAGGUCGGUUUCUAUCUGUAACUUUAUUUCUCCCAGUACGAAAGGACAAGAGAAAUAGGGCCAACGUCCCUAAUAAGCCCUAGAACUAAUACAUGAAUUCAUCUUAAUGACAUUAUUCAAUAAGAUUAUUAUCCUAGAAUAGGGU
Molecule: ribosomal RNA, 1586 nt
Filed under: Antechinus stuartii (brown antechinus)
Lineage: Eukaryota; Metazoa; Chordata; Mammalia; Dasyuromorphia; Dasyuridae
Description: 16S ribosomal RNA
Rfam family: Bacterial large subunit ribosomal RNA
Source: RNAcentral